GGGGCCUGCUGGCUGAUUGUGGCCUGAAGCUGGGAGGUGGUGGCCCUCGCUGUGGGUUGUGUGGCAGGUAGAACAAUAAGAAUCAUACAACUCAAUAUAGUCCGUACGUGCCAGGAACUGUUCUAAGCGCUCUGGCUCUGUCGAUUGAUUUAAAACCCACGAACAGGCUGGAAUCCAGACGCAGGAGGUCAUUUUGUCUAAGAUCACACAGCUUCGCUAAGAAAUAGAGUCCAAACAAGACUGUCCCAGAGUUUUUUUAAUCACGUUACCUUUAAAAUGGUGAAAUGCAUGCUUAGCCAAGGAAAAAGGAUCUGGCCUUCUGUCCUGGCACCUGCUUUAUUGAAUACCUUUCUGCUAGUCAUGCUGGCCCAGAUGAUCUCUGAAUGCUGACAACCACCCAGCUAUGGUUAACCCGCGUUCAUCGACUCAGCGUUUAUGUGCUGGGACACAAAACGUGCCUGCGUGUGCGCGGAUGCACGCGGACUGCAAGAUCCGUGAAGGCGGUGACUGGAUCUCCCUUGGUCACAGUUAGAUCCCCAGCACCUGGACCACAAGUCCGGACAUAAAGGCAACGUGGACACGAGGGGAAGCCGAGAGGUUCGGUGGGCCUCUCCCACCCUUACUGCUGGUCUCGUUGCCUUCCCUCCCUCCAGCCAGAUGAGGCUGACGCGGCCCCCCCCGCUGUCCCAGGGGAGGAAACCGAGGCCCGCAGAACCCGGAGAACGUUGGAUCGAGGCAGGCCAGCUGCAGCUUCCGACCACAAAACCUCAAAGCACUAGGGAAGGAGCAGAUGUCAGGGUGGGCGCGGGGACGGCCCUCUGAGCUCCAGGGCCUGCGGUCUAUCCUGAGAGGUCAGGGCUGCAGGACGCCGUGGGGGUUCCCGGCACCGGAGGGGAAGGAGCCCGCCCCCACGGGGAGAGCAAAUCUCAGCGGCUACGUGUGCUCAGGGCUCGGCUGGAGGACAGGUGGGAGAGACCGAAGCCAGUCUCGCGACUCAGCCGGUCAGGAGGCGGGGGACCAGAUGCUGACCCCCGACCCCUGGCGGCACCCACGGCAAACGGGUCUGUGUCAGAGAUUCUGUGUUUGGGGUAGAGAAGGGCACCUCUGGGGGGGGGGGGGGGAUUAAAUAAACGGGCAGGAGGCAAGGGGGUGCAGCGAGAACAGAGGGGGACUGUCCGGCCGGCAGGCCCAGCCUCGGGGGCCCCGCGGCAGUGCUGAGCCCGCACCGCGGCUUGGGGAGA
Long non-coding RNA from Prionailurus viverrinus (fishing cat), 1241 nucleotides. RefSeq lists it as uncharacterized. The transcript is spliced from 4 exons. The record is from RefSeq and is a predicted model, not a curated record. Lineage: Eukaryota; Metazoa; Chordata; Mammalia; Carnivora; Felidae.